RNAcentral lists this ribosomal RNA (602 nucleotides) under Leucocoprinus sp. RNAcentral describes it as "LSU rRNA". It matches the Rfam family "Eukaryotic large subunit ribosomal RNA", at positions 58 to 641 of the family's 3401-position model. Lineage: Eukaryota; Fungi; Basidiomycota; Agaricomycetes; Agaricales; Agaricaceae. The record is from RNAcentral.
AAAGAAACUAACAAGGAUUCCCGUAGUAACUGCGAGUGAAGUGGGAAAAGCUCAAAUUUGGAAUCUGGCGGUCUGUGGCCGUCCGAGUUGUAAUCUAGAGAAGUGUUACCUGCGCUGGACCGUGUACAAGUCUCCUGGAAUGGAGCGUCAUAGAGGGUGAGAAUCCCGUCUCUGACACGGACUACCAGGGCUUUGUGGUAUGCUCUCAAAGAGUCGAGUUGUUUGGGAAUGCAGCUCAAAAUGGGUGGUAAACUCCAUCUAAAGCUAAAUACUGGCAAGAGACCGAUAGUGAACAAGUACCGUGAGGGAAAGAUGAAAAGAACUUUGGAAAGAGAGUUAAACAGUACGUGAAAUUGCUGAAAGGGAAACGCUUGAAGUCAGUCGUGUUGGCUGGGGAUCAGCCUCACUUCUUUGUGUGGUGUAUUUCCUGGUUGACAGGUCAGCAUCAAUUUUGACCACUGGAAAAAGGCUUGAGGAAUGUGGCAGCCCUGGCUGUGUUAUAGCUUCUUGUCAGAUACAGUGGUUGGGAUUGAGGUGUGCAGCACGCCGCAAGGCCGGGGCAUUGCCCACGUACGUGCUUAGGAUGUUGACAUAAUGGCUUU